GGUCAGGGCAGGGUCACAAGUGCACUGCUGAUAGUUCCAAGGGGCCAGCCAGGCUGGGGGGUGGGGCGGGCAGCGAGGCUUGUGGGCAUUCAGGACAGUGCUCCCCUCACGGUUGUGGGCCCUGGCCCCCCACUGUGAGUGGCAGCCGCCUUGCUUGCUGUUCAGCCAGAUGUCCUCCCUAUUCAGAUUCCCUGCCGGUUUCCUUCUCACCUAACGUUCUACCGGAGGUUCUUUGUUCCUGUAUCCUGCAUUUGGUGUAAACAGCUUAGAUGCAAGAAUGUAGAACAUUGGGUAGCAAACUUCUGCCCUCCGGGGAUCCGCCAUUGUGCUGUAAGUCUGUAUUUAAGGUUUCCUCCCUCUUUCAAUAAACGGCAUUCGGCUGGCACUCGGCAUUCAGCCGUGGCGAAUGACUCGCUGUCUCUUGUCCCUUAUUUUUUAAUCCACAGCCCCUCGCUCGGACAUGGUGAACGGUUGGUGAUAGCGCGGGCGUUAUCCCUACAAAUGGAGGUUCCUACCGAGAUCCGAGAAAGAAGGGACGAGCUGAUGGACACCCGAAAGGACAAUGAAGUUCCUCUUUGGGUUCCUGAGCGCUGUGUGCGCCCUGUGGCUGCUGCUGAAUCCCGACAUGGCAGAGACCUAUUGGGCCUUCGUAAAAAACUCUCCCCUUCUGAUGCCAAUGGGGAUUGAGAGCCCAAUACAGCCAGCCUUGGCAAGCAUUAACAUAAGCCUCGGAACUGUAGCCAUGUGGUUGGAUUCUUCAGAAGGUAAUGUAUGGUAACUUUUUUCAAAAAUGUUGAGAAUGUGUCACACCUUGGAGAUUAAGGAUAACUCUGAAGGUCACUGACCUCUAUUUGUUAACAGUAACAUGCCAGCUAAGCCUUUUCACAUUUUGCAACCCUCUUCAAGCUGGUGUAGUACCUACUUUUCAGGAAUGGCUCUGUGCAACAUUUAUUGGCCUCCUGAAAUUCAUCUAGCCUUUUUGAAGAUACCUUAAAUUUGUGAGCCUGAAUGUAGCCAUUAAUGAGACCAUUAGUUCUGCUCCUUGUUUGCUGUUUUUGUUUUUGUUUUCUUUAUGGUUCUUAGUUGUUCUUUUGCAGACCUGCCAGCCUAAGUAGUGCUGGGAUCAAGAAAAAUGGGCCUUGGUGGUUCGUGUUCCUGGAGCUGCGUCCAUGCCAGUGGACCAUGGCAGUUAGACACAGAUGAUGCUCACACGCUCCAGAAGAGAAUCUGACAUCGCUGUUGCCGUUGUUGCUGUUAUAGCAGUGGUGGCCACUGCUGCUAUUGCUUGUGGGAUGGCUACUUCAUAAUUGGGUUCUACAGCUAGCACAAUGGAGACCCUGGCAGCAAAAGUAGCUACCACAGUUAGUUAAUCUUUUAUUUUAUUGGGCAUGAUAAAUUUAAUUCUACAUUGGCUUUGAAAGUUGUAAAAAUUAUUAAAACUCAAGUUCUAUUUGCUUAUGGGAUACCACCUUACAAGGACUCCAAUUUGCAGUAAGGCUCGUUUAAGAAGGGAAUGGCUCAGUUGCCUUUAGCCUCCUGGCUAUGGGUGGAUUAGGACUUCUGUUGGUCUUUUCUGUGUCGCACAGAUUGCAAGCCCAGCGCCACUUUGAGAUCUUUGGCAGCAGUCACUCUACAGCUCACGUGGUUGAGUCUGUAUGAUAAUGAGUAUUCAGAGACGGGUAAUGCUUGGGGGGCGGUCAUCAACCUAAGACAGAGCACUUGUGUGACCUGGGCAGGUGUCUCUAUGACGGGUAAGGUGACCUGCUGACGUCCCACGCAACCUAAGUCAGAAGCUCAUUUUUUAGUAAAAAGGGGGGACCUGUGGGCCCUGGCCCCCCACUGUGAGUGGCAGCCGCCUUGCUUGCUGUUCAGCCAGAUGUCCUCCCUAUUCAGAUUCCCUGCCGGUUUCCUUCUCACCUAACGUUCUACCGGAGGUUCUUUGUUCCUGUAUCCUGCAUUUGGUGUAAACAGCUUAGAUGCAAGAAUGUAGAACAUUGGGUAGCAAACUUCUGCCCUCCGGGGAUCCGCCAUUGUGCUGUAAGUCUGUAUUUAAGGUUUCCUCCCUCUUUCAAUAAACGGCAUUCGGCUGGCACUCGGCAUUCAGCCGUGGCGAAUGA
Molecule: long non-coding RNA, 2117 nt
Organism: Peromyscus californicus insignis
Lineage: Eukaryota; Metazoa; Chordata; Mammalia; Rodentia; Cricetidae
Exons: 2
Source: RefSeq, a predicted model, not a curated record